RNAcentral lists this ribosomal RNA (816 nucleotides) under Bifidobacterium sp. HGAT7. RNAcentral's name for it is "bacterial SSU rRNA". It matches the Rfam family "Bacterial small subunit ribosomal RNA", at positions 60 to 882 of the family's 1533-position model. Lineage: Bacteria; Bacillati; Actinomycetota; Actinomycetes; Bifidobacteriales; Bifidobacteriaceae. The record is from RNAcentral.
AGUCGACGGGAUCCCGGGGGUUCGCUCCCGGGUGAGAGUGGCGAACGGGUGAGUAAUGCGUGACCGACCUGCCCCAUACACCGGAAUAGCUCCUGGAAACGGGUGGUAAUGCCGGAUGCUCCGGUUGGAUGCAUGUCCUUCCGGGAAAGAUUCCAUCGGUAUGGGAUGGGGUCGCGUCCUAUCAGCUUGAUGGCGGGGUAACGGCCCACCAUGGCUUCGACGGGUAGCCGGCCUGAGAGGGCGACCGGCCACAUUGGGACUGAGAUACGGCCCAGACUCCUACGGGAGGCAGCAGUGGGGAAUAUUGCACAAUGGGCGCAAGCCUGAUGCAGCGACGCCGCGUGCGGGAUGGAGGCCUUCGGGUUGUAAACCGCUUUUGAUCGGGAGCAAGCCCUUCGGGGUGAGUGUACCUUUCGAAUAAGCACCGGCUAACUACGUGCCAGCAGCCGCGGUAAUACGUAGGGUGCAAGCGUUAUCCGGAAUUAUUGGGCGUAAAGGGCUCGUAGGCGGUUCGUCGCGUCCGGUGUGAAAGCCCAUCGCUUAACGGUGGGUCUGCGCCGGGUACGGGCGGGCUGGAGUGCGGUAGGGGAGACUGGAAUUCCCGGUGUAACGGUGGAAUGUGUAGAUAUCGGGAAGAACACCAAUGGCGAAGGCAGGUCUCUGGGCCGUCACUGACGCUGAGGAGCGAAAGCGUGGGGAGCGAACAGGAUUAGAUACCCUGGUAGUCCACGCCGUAAACGGUGGAUGCUGGAUGUGGGGCCCGUUCCACGGGUUCCGUGUCGGAGCUAACGCGUUAAGCAUCCCGCCUGGGGAGUA